UACGAAGGGUGCAAGCGUUACUCGGAAUUACUGGGCGUAAAGCGUGCGUAGGUGGUGAGUUAAGUCUGUCGUGAAAGCCCCGGGCUCAACCUGGGAAUGGCGAUGGAUACUGGCUCGCUAGAGUGCGGUAGAGGAGAGUGGAAUUCCCGGUGUAGCAGUGAAAUGCGUAGAGAUCGGGAGGAACACCUAUGGCGAAGGCAGCUUGCUGGGACGGUACUGACGCUGAGACGCGAAAGCGUGGGGAGCAAACAGG
RNAcentral lists this ribosomal RNA (253 nucleotides) under uncultured bacterium. RNAcentral describes it as "partial 16S ribosomal RNA". It matches the Rfam family "Bacterial small subunit ribosomal RNA", at positions 524 to 776 of the family's 1533-position model. The record is from RNAcentral.